This 163-nucleotide ribosomal RNA is filed under the name uncultured bacterium. RNAcentral's name for it is "partial 16S ribosomal RNA". It matches the Rfam family "Bacterial small subunit ribosomal RNA", at positions 392 to 539 of the family's 1533-position model. The record is from RNAcentral.
CCAUGCCGCGUGUGUGAAGAAGGCCUUCGGGUUGUAAAGCACUUUUGUACGGGAAGAAAUCUCCGGGACUAAUACUCCUGGAAGCUGACGGUACCGUAAGAAUAAGCACCGGCUAACUUCGUGCCAGCCACUGCGGUGACUGAGCGGGCUGGCAAGGCGCAUA